GGUUAAGUGACUAAGCGUACACGGUGGAUGCCUUGGCAGUCAGAGGCGAUGAAAGACGUAGUAACUUGCGAUAAGCCCAGAUUAGGUAGUAACAACCAUUUGAGUCUGGGAUUUCUGAAUGGGGAAACCCACUUACAUAAGUAAGUAUCAUUAACUGAAUACAUAGGUUAAUGAGGCGAACCGGGGGAACUGAAACAUCUAAGUACCCCGAGGAAAAGAAAUCAACCGAGAUUCCGAAAGUAGCGGCGAGCGAAAUUGGACUAGCCCUUAAGCUUUACACGCGUUAGACGAACGGUCUGGAAAGUCCGACGAUACAGGGUGAUAGUCCCGUAGUUGACGACGUGUGUUCAGUGAAAUCGAGUAGGGCGGGACACGUGAUAUCCUGUCUGAAUAUGGGGGGACCAUCCUCCAAGGCUAAAUACUACUGACUGACCGAUAGUGAACCAGUACCGUGAGGGAAAGGCGAAAAGAACCCCUGUGAGGGGAGUGAAAUAGAACCUGAAACCGUGUACGUACAAGCAGUAGGAGCAGGCUUGUCCUGUGACUGCGUACCUUUUGUAUAAUGGGUCAGCGACUUAUAUUCAGUGGCAAGGUUAACCAUCUAGGGGAGCCGUAGGGAAACCGAGUCUUAACUGGGCGUUCAGUCUCUGGAUAUAGACCCGAAACCAGGUGAUCUAGCCAUGGGCAGGUUGAAGGUUGAGUAACAUCAACUGGAGGACCGAACCGACUAAUGUUGAAAAAUUAGCGGAUGACUUGUGGCUAGGGGUGAAAGGCCAAUCAAACCUGGAGAUAGCUGGUUCUCCCCGAAAGCUAUUUAGGUAGCGCCUCGGACGAAUACUACUGGGGGUAGAGCACUGUUAAGGCUAGGGGGUCAUCCCGACUUACCAACCCUUUGCAAACUCCGAAUACCAGUAAGUACUAUCCGGGAGACACACGGCGGGUGCUAACGUCCGUCGUGGAGAGGGAAACAACCCAGACCGCCAGCUAAGGUCCCAAAUUACUACUAAGUGGGAAACGAUGUGGGAAGGCUCAGACAGCCAGGAUGUUGGCUUAGAAGCAGCCAUCAUUUAAAGAAAGCGUAAUAGCUCACUGGUCGAGUCGGCCUGCGCGGAAGAUGUAACGGGGCUAAGUAGUAAACCGAAGCUGCGGCAAUGUGCUUUUGCACAUUGGGUAGGGGAGCGUUCUGUAAGCGGUUGAAGGUGUGUGGUAACGCAUGCUGGACGUAUCAGAAGUGCGAAUGCUGACAUGAGUAACGAUAAAGGGGGUGAAAAACCUCCUCGCCGGAAGACCAAGGGUUCCUGUCCAACGUUAAUCGGGGCAGGGUAAGUCGACCCCUAAGGCGAGGCCGAAAGGCGUAGUCGAUGGGAAACGGGUUAAUAUUCCCGUACUUCUUACAAUUGCGAUGGGGGGACGGAGAAGGCUAGGUGGGCCUGGCGACGGUUGUCCAGGUUCAAGUGCGUAGGCUUAAGAGUUAGGUAAAUCCGGCUCUUUUUAAGGCUGAGACACGACGUCGAGCACCUACGGGUGUGAAGUCAUUGAUGCCAUGCUUCCAGGAAAAGCCUCUAAGCUUCAGAUUGUAAGGAAUCGUACCCCAAACCGACACAGGUGGUCGGGUAGAGAAUACCAAGGCGCUUGAGAGAACUCGGGUGAAGGAACUAGGCAAAAUGGUACCGUAACUUCGGGAGAAGGUACGCUCUUGAUGGUGAAGUCCCUUGCGGAUGGAGCUGACGAGAGUCGCAGAUACCAGGUGGCUGCAACUGUUUAUUAAAAACACAGCACUGUGCAAAAUCGUAAGAUGACGUAUACGGUGUGACGCCUGCCCGGUGCCGGAAGGUUAAUUGAUGGGGUUAGACUUCGGUCGAAGCUCUUGAUCGAAGCCCCGGUAAACGGCGGCCGUAACUAUAACGGUCCUAAGGUAGCGAAAUUCCUUGUCGGGUAAGUUCCGACCUGCACGAAUGGCGUAAUGAUGGCCACGCUGUCUCCACCCGAGACUCAGUGAAAUUGAAAUCGCUGUGAAGAUGCAGUGUACCCGCGGCUAGACGGAAAGACCCCGUGAACCUUUACUACAGCUUGGCACUGAACAUUGACCCUACAUGUGUAGGAUAGGUGGGAGGCUUUGAAGCACGUACGCCAGUAUGUGUGGAGCCGUCCUUGAAAUACCACCCUUGUAGUGUUGAUGUUCUAACGUCGACCCCUUAUCGGGGUUGCGGACAGUGCCUGGUGGGUAGUUUGACUGGGGCGGUCUCCUCCCAAAGAGUAACGGAGGAGCACGAAGGUGGGCUAAUCACGGUUGGACAUCGUGAGGUUAGUGCAAUGGCAUAAGCCCGCUUGACUGCGAGAAUGACAAUUCGAGCAGGUGCGAAAGCAGGUCAUAGUGAUCCGGUGGUUCUGAAUGGAAGGGCCAUCGCUCAACGGAUAAAAGGUACUCCGGGGAUAACAGGCUGAUACCGCCCAAGAGUUCAUAUCGACGGCGGUGUUUGGCACCUCGAUGUCGGCUCAUCACAUCCUGGGGCUGAAGUCGGUCCCAAGGGUAUGGCUGUUCGCCAUUUAAAGUGGUACGCGAGCUGGGUUUAGAACGUCGUGAGACAGUUCGGUCCCUAUCUGCCGUGGGCGUUGGAAGAUUGAAGGGGGCUGCUCCUAGUACGAGAGGACCGGAGUGGACGAACCUCUGGUGUUCGGGUUGUGUCGCCAGACGCAUUGCCCGGUAGCUAAGUUCGGAAUCGAUAACCGCUGAAAGCAUCUAAGCGGGAAGCGAGCCCUGAGAUGAGUCUUCCCUGAUACUUUAAGUAUCCUAAAGGGUUGUCGGAGACUACGACGUUGAUAGGUCAGGUGUGUAAGUGCUGUGAGGCAUUGAGCUAACUGAUACUAAUUGCCCGUGAGGCUUAACCAU
RNAcentral lists this ribosomal RNA (2890 nucleotides) under Vibrio parahaemolyticus. RNAcentral describes it as "23S ribosomal RNA". It matches the Rfam family "Bacterial large subunit ribosomal RNA". The record is from RNAcentral. Lineage: Bacteria; Pseudomonadati; Pseudomonadota; Gammaproteobacteria; Vibrionales; Vibrionaceae.